This 1542-nucleotide ribosomal RNA is filed under the name Duncaniella dubosii. Its description in RNAcentral is "16S ribosomal RNA". It matches the Rfam family "Bacterial small subunit ribosomal RNA". Lineage: Bacteria; Pseudomonadati; Bacteroidota; Bacteroidia; Bacteroidales; Muribaculaceae. The record is from RNAcentral.
GAUAACAACGAAGAGUUUGAUCCUGGCUCAGGAUGAACGCUAGCGACAGGCUUAACACAUGCAAGUCGAGGGGCAGCGGGGGAGUAGCAAUACUCCCGCCGGCGACCGGCGCACGGGUGAGUAACACGUAUGAAACCUGCCCGUAGCAGGGGGAUAAGCGGAAGAAAUUCCGUCUAAUACCGCGUAACAACCCAUGGAGGCAUCUCCGUGGGUUUAAAGGAAGCGAUUCCGGCUACGGAUGGUCAUGCGUCGCAUUAGCUAGUUGGCGGGGUAACGGCCCACCAAGGCGACGAUGCGUAGGGGUUCUGAGAGGAAGGUCCCCCACACUGGUACUGAGACACGGACCAGACUCCUACGGGAGGCAGCAGUGAGGAAUAUUGGUCAAUGGCCGCAGGGCUGAACCAGCCAAGUCGCGUGAGGGAUGACGGUCCUAUGGAUUGUAAACCUCUUUUGUCAGGGAGCAAAGGGCGCCACGUGUGGCGCUUUGCGAGUACCUGAAGAAAAAGCAUCGGCUAACUCCGUGCCAGCAGCCGCGGUAAUACGGAGGAUGCGAGCGUUAUCCGGAUUUAUUGGGUUUAAAGGGUGCGCAGGCGGAAUGUCAAGUCAGCGGUAAAAUUUCGGGGCUCAACCCCGUCGUGCCGUUGAAACUGGCGUUCUUGAGUGAGCGAGAAGUAUGCGGAAUGCGUGGUGUAGCGGUGAAAUGCAUAGAUAUCACGCAGAACUCCGAUUGCGAAGGCAGCAUACCGGCGCUCAACUGACGCUCAUGCACGAAAGCGUGGGUAUCGAACAGGAUUAGAUACCCUGGUAGUCCACGCAGUAAACGAUGAAUACUAACUGUCCGGGCAGAAUGAUGCCUGGGUGGUACAGCGAAAGCGUUAAGUAUUCCACCUGGGGAGUACGCCGGCAACGGUGAAACUCAAAGGAAUUGACGGGGGCCCGCACAAGCGGAGGAACAUGUGGUUUAAUUCGAUGAUACGCGAGGAACCUUACCCGGGCUCAAACGACGGAUGGAUGUUUCUGAAAGGAGGCAGUCCUACGGGACAUCCGUCGAGGUGCUGCAUGGUUGUCGUCAGCUCGUGCCGUGAGGUGUCGGCUUAAGUGCCAUAACGAGCGCAACCCCCAUCGCCAGUUACCAGCAAGUAAAGUUGGGGACUCUGGCGAGACUGCCGGCGCAAGCUGUGAGGAAGGCGGGGAUGACGUCAAAUCAGCACGGCCCUUACGUCCGGGGCGACACACGUGUUACAAUGGCAGGUACAGAGAGAAGCGAUGCGGCGACGCAGAGCGGAACUUCAAAGCCUGUCUCAGUUCGGAUUGGAGUCUGCAACCCGACUCCAUGAAGCUGGAUUCGCUAGUAAUCGCGCAUCAGCCACGGCGCGGUGAAUACGUUCCCGGGCCUUGUACACACCGCCCGUCAAGCCAUGGAAGCCGGGAGUGCCUGAAGUGUGCAACCGCAAGGAGCGCCCUAAGGUAAAACCGGUGACUGGGGCUAAGUCGUAACAAGGUAGCCGUACCGGAAGGUGCGGCUGGAACACCUCCUUUCUG